GCCAGGCAUGGUUGUGCAUGCCUGUAGUCCCAGCUACUUGGGAGGCUGAGGCAUGAGAAUCACUUGAGCCCAGGAGUUCAAAGCUGCAGUAAGCUGUGUUUGUGCCACUGCACGCCAGCCUGGGCAACAAAGUAAGACCCUGUCUCAA
Molecule: unclassified non-coding RNA, 148 nt
Organism: Pongo abelii (Sumatran orangutan)
Lineage: Eukaryota; Metazoa; Chordata; Mammalia; Primates; Hominidae
Rfam family: Metazoan signal recognition particle RNA
About the family: The signal recognition particle (SRP) is a universally conserved ribonucleoprotein. It is involved in the co-translational targeting of proteins to membranes. The eukaryotic SRP consists of a 300-nucleotide 7S RNA and six proteins: SRPs 72, 68, 54, 19, 14, and 9.
Source: Ensembl